RNAcentral lists this transfer RNA (74 nucleotides) under Candidatus Nanoarchaeia archaeon. RNAcentral's name for it is "tRNA-Pro". It matches the Rfam family "tRNA". Rfam says of the family: Transfer RNA (tRNA) molecules are approximately 80 nucleotides in length. RNAcentral also lists the same sequence under 1 other name. Lineage: Archaea; Nanobdellati; Nanobdellota; Candidatus Nanoarchaeia. The record is from RNAcentral.
GGGGCCGUAGUUCAGCUUGGAAGAAUGCCAGCCUGGGGCGUUGGUGGUCCCGGGUUCAAAUCCCGGCGGCCCCA